RNAcentral lists this ribosomal RNA (430 nucleotides) under uncultured bacterium. RNAcentral describes it as "partial 16S ribosomal RNA". It matches the Rfam family "Bacterial small subunit ribosomal RNA", at positions 29 to 507 of the family's 1533-position model. The record is from RNAcentral.
AACGAACGCUGGCGGCAGGCUUAACACAUGCAAGUCGAGCGCCCCGCAAGGGGAGCGGCAGACGGGUGAGUAACGCGUGGGAACGUACCUUUUGGUUCGGAACAACUCCGGGAAACUGGAGCUAAUACCGGAUAGCCCUAACGGGGAAAGAUUUAUCGCCGAAAGAUCGGCCCGCGUCUGAUUAGCUAGUUGGUGAGGUAACGGCUCACCAAGGCGACGAUCAGUAGCUGGUCUGAGAGGAUGAUCAGCCACACUGGGACUUAGACACGGCCCAGACUCCUACGGGAGGCAGCAGUGGGGAAUAUUGGACAAUGGGCGCAAGCCUGAUCCAGCCAUGCCGCGUGAGUGAUGAAGGCCUUAGGGUUGUAAAGCUCUUUUGUCCGGGAAGAUAAUGACUGUACCGGAAGAAUAAGCCCCGGCUAACUUCGUG